AUUGAACGCUGGCGGCAUGCUCUACACAUGCAAGUCGAACGGUAACAGGCCGCCAGGUGCUGCCGAGUGGCGCACGGGUGAGUAAUGCAUCGGAACGUGCCCAGUCGUGGGGGAUAACUACUCGAAAGAGUAGCUAAUACCGCAUACGAUCUAUGGAUGAAAGCGGGGGACCGUAAGGCCUCGCGCGAUUGGAGCGGCCGAUGUCAGAUUAGGUAGUUGGUGGGGUAAAGGCUCACCAAGCCAACGAUCUGUAGCUGGUCUGAGAGGACGACCAGCCACACUGGGACUGAGACACGGCCCAGACUCCUACGGGAGGCAGCAGUGGGGAAUUUUGGACAAUGGGCGCAAGCCUGAUCCAGCAAUGCCGCGUGCAGGAAGAAGGCCUUCGGGUUGUAAACUGCUUUUGUACGGAACGAAACGGCUCUGGUUAAUACCCGGGGCUAAUGACGGUACCGUAAGAAUAAGCACCGGCUAACUACGUG
Molecule: ribosomal RNA, 482 nt
Filed under: uncultured bacterium
Lineage: Bacteria
Description: partial 16S ribosomal RNA
Rfam family: Bacterial small subunit ribosomal RNA
Source: RNAcentral